CACACAGAACAUUUGUGACUUGAAGUGCUCUCCUGGAGAAUGUGAGAAUAGACAGCAGCUCUGGAGUGUCUGGAUGCCACUAGCAGGAGGUGCUUUGAGCUUGGACUGACCUGCUGAUGGAAGCUUUGCUGUCCAUGUGCUGUCGCAACACCGACUGUUAUUACAGACGGAGCUCCAGAAUCCAGUGUUGCUGAAGGGAACAAUGAUGUAAUUCCAAGUCGGAACAGUCUAUAACUUGAAGAGGAAUAUGUUGGUGUUAGAAACCCACCUGAUGCUAGUAUGGGCAACUCAGAUUCUGGAGUUAAACCUGGUUGUUAUUUCGUUAA
Molecule: long non-coding RNA, 326 nt
Organism: Hemiscyllium ocellatum (epaulette shark)
Lineage: Eukaryota; Metazoa; Chordata; Chondrichthyes; Orectolobiformes; Hemiscylliidae
Exons: 2
Source: RefSeq, a predicted model, not a curated record